Molecule: RNA transcript, 2819 nt
Organism: Oreochromis aureus
Lineage: Eukaryota; Metazoa; Chordata; Actinopteri; Cichliformes; Cichlidae
Exons: 2
Source: RefSeq, a predicted model, not a curated record
UGAUGACUUUCAGUUCAGAGUAACUGUCAAGAAACACCCAAUGACGAGAAGGGGAGUGCUAUCCACAGUAGCUUCCAUCUACGAUCCUUUGGGUUUCGUAGCACCAUUUGUUUUACGUGGGAAGUUGAUCUUGCAACAGUUGAGUCGAGAGAAAGCUAGUUGGGAUGAACCACUUUCAGAGGAGUGCAGAUCACAGUGGCAGUCAUGGUUACAAGAUCUCCAUAACUUAUGUCAAGUAAAGAUUAAGAGGUGCUACAUGCCAGCAAGCUUCAUAGAUGUCAAGCAGUACGAAUUACAUCACUUCUCAGAUGCUAGCUUCACAGGUUGUGGGGAGUGCACUUAUCUAAGAGCAGUCAACUCUAAUGGCAGCGUACACUGCUCACUUGUCAUGGGGAAAGCGCGUGUUGCCCCCACUAAGGUCACAACAGUUCCAAGGCUUGAGCUGUCUGCAGCAGUGGUUGCUGCGAAGAUGGGUGCCGUGUUAAAACAUGAGCUCGAAAUAGACAACCUUAAGGAAUAUUAUUGGACUGAUUCAAAGGUUGUUCUCGGGUACAUUAAUAAUGAUGCCAGAUGCUUUCAUGUUUUCGUGGCAAAUAGGAUCCAGAGAAUCAAGGCCACCACAGAUGCCAACCAAUGGUAUCAUGUGCAGUCUGAAGACAAUCCGGCGGACCAUGGUUCGAGAGGGUUAUCGGCAGAUCAGCUCGUUGCUUCAAAUUGGUUCACUGGCCCAGACUUUCUGUGGGAGAAGGAGCUACCCACAAAAGAUGCCAAGGUGGGAGAGGUUAGUGACAAUGAUCCAGAACUUCGAUGGGCUCAGGUGCUCAACACCAGUGCAAGGGCAAAUAGAACAUUGUUGGACUGCCUGACUAAGUUUUCUGACUGGAAAAGAGUUGUUAAGGCUAUUGCUUGCCUUAAACGUCAUGCUAAGCAAGUUAAGGGUCUUAGUCCCAAACUCAAUGGAAGUACAAGUGUUGAGGAAAGACAACAAGCUGAACUUUUCAUAAUCAGAUUGGUCCAAAGAGAAGUAUUCAGCAGUGAAAUCAAGAAUUUACAGCAAUGCAAGGACGUAAAAUCCAAAGACAAAGCAAAAAGGCUAUGCAAAUUAAGUCCAUUUUUGGAUGAGCAGGGUGUGCUGAGAGUAGGCGGCCGCUUGACAAGAAGUGAGCUUCAUCCACAUGUUAAACAUCCUGCUAUUCUGCCAAAAACAAAUCACGUGUCUUCUUUAUUGAUCAAGCAUUAUCAUGAGAAGGUACAGCAUCAAGGAAGAGGUAUGACUGUAAAUGAAUUGCGAUCUAAUGGGAUAUGGGUCAUUGGAUGCAGCAGUGCAGUUUCCUCACAUGUCUUUAAGUGCGUCACAUGCAGAAAGUAUAGAAGGAACACACAAGAUCCAAAAAUGGCAGAUUUGCCAAAGGACAGAAUGGAAAUGACCCCUCCAUUCACAUAUUGUGGCAUAGAUUGCUUUGGACCAUUCUAUGUGAGGGAUGCAAGAAAGGAACUGAAGAAGUAUGGUCUUCUCUUCACUUGUAUGUGUUGCAGAGCUGUACAUAUCGAAAUGCUUGAUGACCUUAGUUCAGAUGCUUUCAUCAAUGCAUUGUGCGUAUUCAUUGCAAUACGUGGGAAUGUAAGGCAGUUGAGAUGUGAUCAAGGUACCAACUUUGUGGGUGCAAAAAGAGAGUUCAUGGACUCAAUGAAGAACUUGGCUCAUGAGCAGUUGAAGGAAUAUGGCUGUGAGUUUGUAAUGAAUCCCCCAUCAUCCAGCCAUAUGGGAGGAAUUUGGGAGAGGCAAAUAAGGACAAUCAGAAGUGUUCUAACAGCAAUCCUUGAUCAGUCUGCUAAAAGACUUGACACCGCCUCACUUAGGACAUUUUUGUAUGAAGUGAUGGCUAUUAUAAAUAGCAGACCGCUGACAACAGAGCACCUGAAUGAUCCAACAAGUCUUGAACCGCUCACACCAAAUCACAUUCUUCUGAUGAAGUCUAACAUCAUAUCGCCACCUCCGGGUCAGUUCGUGAGUCAAGAUUUAUACCUGCGUAAGAGAUGGCGUCAGGUGCAGUUCUUGGCGAAUGAGUUUUGGACAAGGUGGAGGAGGGAGUGUCUUCUUAAUCUCCAGCAAAGACAGAUAUGGCAUGGGGAUAAAAGAAACACCAAGGUCAAUGACAUUGUUAUUCUACAAGAGGACAGUGCUCCGCAAAAUCACUGGAGACUAGCAAGAGUCACAGACGUGUACCCCAGCUCUGAUGGAAGGGUCAGAAAGGUAAGGCUGUUGGUUAGUGACUCAACUUUGGACAAACAGGGAAAACGGACAUCUAAGCCAGUUUAUCUUGAAAGGCCAGUGCAAAAAAUAGUUCUACUGGUUGAAGCAGAAUAAGCAUGUGUUAAACUGUUGUAAAUGCUUAUAACUUGAAGAUUCAAAUCUGUAAGGAAAUCUCAAGUUGAGAUUUGGUGGGAAUUUAACUGCCAUAAAUGUAAAUUAUGUCAGUUUGCUUAAUUUAUUGUGUUCAUGUAUGUUAUUUAUUUCCUUUAUUUAUUGUUGUUCCUUUUGAGGUAGGAACUAAGUUUCAUUCUGUGUUGCGCACAGGCCCUUUUAAGUGACGUAAAGGGAAGCCAAAAGAGCAUGUGCAAAGAAGCUAAGCUAUAACUUAACUAAGUCAUAAGAAGGAAUAAAUAAGCAGUUUUAAAGUAAAGGAAAGCUGUAAAGAAGAAGAAGAAAUUGGGAAUUACUUUCGUUAAGUUUUUGGUCCUGAAGCGGACUCAUUCCCUCACGGUUACGUGCAGCCAGCGAGAAGUGUGACAGAGGAAUAAAUCCAUCAGUGAAUGAA